RNAcentral lists this transfer RNA (69 nucleotides) under Microhyla heymonsi (Taiwan rice frog). RNAcentral describes it as "tRNA-Asp". It matches the Rfam family "tRNA". Rfam says of the family: Transfer RNA (tRNA) molecules are approximately 80 nucleotides in length. Their secondary structure includes four short double-helical elements and three loops (D, anti-codon, and T loops). Further hydrogen bonds mediate the characteristic L-shaped molecular structure. tRNAs have two regions of fundamental functional importance: the anti-codon, which is responsible for specific mRNA codon recognition, and the 3' end, to which the tRNAs corresponding amino acid is attached (by aminoacyl-tRNA synthetases). tRNAs cope with the degeneracy of the genetic code in two manners: having more than one tRNA (with a specific anti-codon) for a particular amino acid; and 'wobble' base-pairing, i.e. permitting non-standard base-pairing at the 3rd anti-codon position. Lineage: Eukaryota; Metazoa; Chordata; Amphibia; Anura; Microhylidae. The record is from RNAcentral.
GAGGUACUAAUUAAAUAAUAAUAAUGCCUUGUCAAGACAUAAUUACGGGUUAAACCCCUGUGCACCUCU